RNAcentral lists this ribosomal RNA (497 nucleotides) under uncultured bacterium. Its description in RNAcentral is "partial 16S ribosomal RNA". It matches the Rfam family "Bacterial small subunit ribosomal RNA", at positions 28 to 507 of the family's 1533-position model. The record is from RNAcentral.
GACGAACGCUGGCGGCGUGCCUAAUACAUGCAAGUUGAGCGCUGAAGGUUGGUACUUGUACCAACUGGAUGAGCAGCGAACGGGUGAGUAACGCGUGGGGAAUCUGCCUUUGAGCGGGGGACAACAUUUGGAAACGAAUGCUAAUACCGCAUAAAAACUUUAAACACAAGUUUUAAGUUUGAAAGAUGCAAUUGCAUCACUCAAAGAUGAUCCCGCGUUGUAUUAGCUAGUUGGUGAGGUAAAGGCUCACCAAGGCGAUGAUACAUAGCCGACCUGAGAGGGUGAUCGGCCACAUUGGGACUGGGACACGGCCCAAACUCCUACGGGAGGCAGCAGUAGGGAAUCUUCGGCAAUGGACGAAAGUCUGACCGAGCAACGCCGCGUGAGUGAAGAAGGUUGUCGGAUCGUAAAACUCGGUUGGUAGAGAAGAACGUUGGUGAGAGUGGAAAGCUCAUCAAGUGACGGUAACUACCCAGAAAGGGACGGCUAACUACGUG